This 110-nucleotide non-coding RNA is filed under the name Gordonia sputi. Its description in RNAcentral is "SAM-IV sequence". It matches the Rfam family "SAM (S-adenosyl methionine) riboswitch aptamer". Rfam says of the family: SAM-IV is a mRNA element that regulates gene expression via direct sensing of S-adenosylmethionine (SAM or AdoMet). SAM-IV riboswitches share conserved nucleotide positions with the previously described SAM-I riboswitches sequence analysis and molecular recognition experiments suggest that SAM-I and SAM-IV riboswitches share similar ligand binding sites, but have different scaffolds. Lineage: Bacteria; Bacillati; Actinomycetota; Actinomycetes; Mycobacteriales; Gordoniaceae. The record is from RNAcentral.
GGUUACGAGCGUCAGCGCCCAGCCCUGGCUUGCUGACCAGCAACCCUCCGUCGUGGUGGGGUGCUCCAGGUGACAACCCGACGGGAUUCGACCGCCCGUAACGACGACGC